GAAAGAUGGUUUCGGCUAUCGCUUACAGAUGGGCCCGCGGUGCAUUAGCUAGUUGGUAGGGUAAUGGCCUACCAAGGCAACGAUGCAUAGCCGACCUGAGAGGGUGAUCGGCCACACUGGGACUGAGACACGGCCCAGACUCCUACGGGAGGCAGCAGUAGGGAAUCUUCCGCAAUGGACGAAAGUCUGACGGAGCAACGCCGCGUGUAUGAAGAAGGUUUUCGGAUCGUAAAGUACUGUUGUUAGAGAAGAACAAGGAUAAGAGUAACUGCUUGUCCCUUGACGGUAUCUAACCAGAAAGCCACGGCUAACUACGUGCCAGCAGCCGCGGUAAUACGUAGGUGGCAAGCGUUGUCCGGAUUUAUUGGGCGUAAAGCGCGCGCAGGCGGUCUUUUAAGUCUGAUGUGAAAGCCCCCGGCUUAACCGGGGAGGGUCA
RNAcentral lists this ribosomal RNA (436 nucleotides) under Listeria monocytogenes. RNAcentral's name for it is "bacterial SSU rRNA". It matches the Rfam family "Bacterial small subunit ribosomal RNA", at positions 202 to 625 of the family's 1533-position model. The record is from RNAcentral. Lineage: Bacteria; Bacillati; Bacillota; Bacilli; Caryophanales; Listeriaceae.